GUUUACUAACAGCAGUCGCCCGGCAACCCGAGAGGCCGGCCUCGAACCCUGCCCGCUUAGGGAACUCACCUGCCAGGAAUUCUCCUUCCUCUGCCUGCCCGGGCAGGUUCUUCCCAUUUUAGUGCAACCCUCGGAACUUCCCGACCCGGAGAGUGGGCCGAGGUCUCCCGGCCGAGAGUCAGCGCCCUCUCGGGCUCCGCCCGGCCCGUUCCGCAGCCCCGGAGGCCUGGUCCAGGCUGGGGCGGGGCAGGGAGAGGGGCGGGAGGGGCCUGCUUCCACCCAGCCGCCGCCCCUGGAGUCACCCACCAAGACAGACCCAGUUGGGUCCAAGCUCCUCCUCCAAGAAAUCUACGCCUGUGCAGGAUGAACCAGCCCCGGCUCAUCCCAUCAUCCAAUCAACACCACAAGCCACACGAACUUCGUGCGCGCGUGUUACAAGGACUGAACUCAGGGCCUCCGAACUGAGCUGCAUCCUCACUCCUUUCUUUAUUUUUUAUCAGGGAUCGAACUUGAGACCUUGCGCUUUCGAGACAGGCACAGAACCACUGAGCUAAAUCCCUAGCUCGACUUCUUUUCUUUUAAAAUAUCUCAGAUGACAGUGCUGAAAAUAACUCGUGUCAACCAGGGGUGGUGACGGCGCCUUAGAUCUGCGGGUGACCCUGGCGGAGCGCCUGCCUGAUCUGCCUGCUGUGAAGACACUGGCGGUUCUUAAAAUUUUAAAAAGACGGGCGGUGCGAGGCGCCCCCAGACGCAGCUGCCGUGAGAGAGAGCCGGCCCAGCCCAGCCCGCGUCCGCCCUCCUGUGCUGGACGCGCAAGACUUAUAGGAGGAGGAAGUGGGAGUUUCACGUUUACUUUCUUUAAAAAAAGGAACGCUCUGGUGUUUCAUGUUUAGCAAGCACUUACUCCGACUUAAAAGAAUCUUCAUCAACUUCCAUCCCCCAAAUUACUGGAUAUAAAAAGUCGCAUUUGUUUUUCUUUGUGCUGCUUGCUGUCAUUUAUCAGCCAC
Long non-coding RNA from Heterocephalus glaber (naked mole-rat), 1007 nucleotides. The record is from Ensembl. Lineage: Eukaryota; Metazoa; Chordata; Mammalia; Rodentia; Bathyergidae.